AGGUAAUUAGUUUAAUAAAAACAUUUGAUUUCGGCUCAGACAAUUACGGUUUAAAUCCCUAACUACCUA
Molecule: transfer RNA, 69 nt
Filed under: Archiaphyosemion guineense (Guinean killifish)
Lineage: Eukaryota; Metazoa; Chordata; Actinopteri; Cyprinodontiformes; Nothobranchiidae
Also listed under: 1 other name
Description: tRNA-Arg
Rfam family: tRNA
About the family: Transfer RNA (tRNA) molecules are approximately 80 nucleotides in length.
Source: RNAcentral